RNAcentral lists this long non-coding RNA (9432 nucleotides) under Brassica rapa (field mustard). RNAcentral describes it as "long non-coding RNA (BRAP_LNC007550)". The record is from RNAcentral. Lineage: Eukaryota; Viridiplantae; Streptophyta; Magnoliopsida; Brassicales; Brassicaceae.
UUGACAUUUAUUAUAUCAUCAUGCACAACUCACUAGCACUAAGUAAAAUCAAGUUCAAUCGGUUGAUUAUUAAUUAUGCAACUGUUCGUUAUUUCUCUUGGUUUAUAUUGAUCUAAUCAUGAUCAUGGUUUUCUUGAGCCAGAGAUCGCUGAGCCAAAAGGAAAAGAGAAUCAACAAGCGGUUGCCACCAUCAUAUCCUCAUGCUUCGAAGGACUGCCCUCACCUACGAGCUUCUCGGAAGCGGCAUAAGCCGGCACAUUUCUCAGCAUCAUCAUAGCCUGACGAGCAUACACACCAACUACUUGUUCGGCACACACGAUCUCAACACGAGACUUCGGAUCGACAAUGGUUCGGUAAACGCGUACUUUAGGCACAAGUUUAAAUUCAACUUGCUUUUUAUUAGGCACGAAUUUGCAUUAGACUCGUUUAUUGUUAGACACGAGUUUACAAAAACUCGUCUUUGACUAGGCAUGAGUUUACAGAAACUCUCCUUUUACUAGGCACGAGUUCUCAGUAAAUUCGCCUCUGUCUUAGCAUGAGUCAAGUAAACUCGUCUUUCGCUAAGCACGAGUUUAAAGCAAACUUGCUUUUUACUAGGCACAAGUUCGAAAUAAACUCGCCUAAACCGUCAUAGGCAUGAAUGUGUCUAGUUCAUUGUCUAAUAAACCCUAUUCGUAAACUUCACAGAGAUCGAUUUCAUCUCUCUCAACGAACUUGGGGGGCUUACUGUUGGGGGUGUAUUUACAUCCUCCCUCAAGGCCUAUUAGACAUUGAAUUAGGUCUAUAUUGCUAAAAAGCCCUAGGCUUCAUCUUUCUCUAAAUAAGGAGCUACCUCCUUCUUAGGAAGGAUCUCUUCUUCCCCAUUUUUAGACCUAACACUUCAUACAAAGAGUUUAUUGAUUCUUAGAUUUAUUUACACUUGUAAUCAUACAUGUAAUACAAUCUUUGAUCUAUAAAUUCUUUUUGAUGUUCAUUUUCUAUUUGAUUUCUAUGUUAAUUUCUCUUAAGCCUCAAGAAUUUAAGAAAUAGAUUUUUUAAAUUCUUUAUUGUUAUGAAUCCAACAUAAACACCAUUUUUUGAUCAAACAACCACAUAACACCAAAAGUAGUGUAGGUGGAUUGACAACAUCCGGGUACUGAACGUGGUCGUGCUUAAUCUUAUUGCAGUUAGAAACUCUUGUUAUUAGAUAUACAUACUGAUAAGUAAAUAGAAACAUUAUUGAUAAGCAGUAUAUAUAUAACAACCUUAGAGCUUCAAGGCCCAAUAUCUGCUCACGUGGAAUCCAUCCUUCCACGUUCAUUAGGUCUAACCAGUGUCCAACAAUGUCCAAGGUUAUGCGGAAAUCCCAACGCCUAAAUCAACCUCACACAUGAGCACUUCACAGGAUGAUUUAGAAGACUUUAUUAAGAUAUUUUAGUCAUGAUAUCAACGAACCAGAUCAACAUUUGAUGGAAACCUUCAUCCGACAAUUGUCCCCAUGGAAGUUUGGAUCGGCAUGGAACUGAUGUGUACAGCUCAGCUGGCCAAUAGUGCAAGAAAUGAUGCUUACUUUUAUGGUAAUAUACUUUUGAUUGACCAUAGAGGUAACCAAUGCCUCCCAUAUAAUCUCAAGGAUUGUAUAAGAACACAAUAUAAAGAACUCUCUUUAUUAGCUUAAGAACUUUCUCAAAACUUAAGCUCCACACAAUCUCUCAAACUCUUCAUAUCUAUGCAACACUCUUGCAUCUUAUAUAUAGAUGUUAUUUCCUAAACUCUUAGGACUAACUUUUCUAAACUCUUAGGAAUUAACUUUCCUAAACUCUUAGGAAUUAACUUAUUCUAAUCCUUACUCAAAAUAAGAAAGAUGUAACUUAGAUCCUAAGUUAACCAUGUUUAUCUCUAACAUUCUCCCCUUUAAACUUGAAGUUAACUUCUUCAAUAUCUUGAACUCCUACAAGCUCUUUCAUUUCUCUAAACUUGAUUCUUCCUAAAGCUUUAGUUAGAAUGUCAGCCUUCUGUUCUGUUCCUGGAAUGUGCUGGACGUCAACCUGCUCAUUCUCGAUACAUUCACGGAUGAAGUGAUAGCGUUUAUGUAUAUGCUUACUACGACCAUGAAAAACCGGGUUCCUUGUAAGCGCUAUUGCUGAUUUGUUAUCCAAACGAAUCACAACUCUUUCUCUUGUCUCCUUGGUGAUCUCUUCCAACAGUUCUUGAAGCCAUAUGGCUUGUUUUGCAGCUUCUGUAGCGGCCAUGAAUUCAGCUUCACAUGAUAAAAGAGCCACAGUCUCUUGUUUCUGAGAGCACCAAGUGAUUGGACACUUCUUUAAGUAAAAUAUGUGUCAUGUGGUGCUUCUACCAUCAUCCUCGUCUAUAUUGUGGCUUGAGUCGCUAAAUCCUUCCAGUCUUAAUGCGUUUGUGCGUUCGUACACGAGACCCAGCUUCGACGAUCCUUUCAAGUACCUCAAGACUUGCUUAAGAGCUGCUCCAUGAGACGUCUUAGGACCAUGCAUGUACCUGCUCAAAAGGCAUACGCUAAAAGCAAGAUCGGGGUGUGUGUGUGUAACAGAUAGCGUAGACACCGUAUCUUUCUCCUAUAAUCCUUCUCAUCUAUGCUUUCUUCUUUAUCUGCUUUUGAGACCUUUAAGCCAGACUCCAUUGGUGUCUGGACUGCAUUACAUUCUUCCAUACCGGUUUCAGACAAGAUCUUCUUAGCAUAUCAUUCCUGACUCAAUGUUAUUCUUCCACGUUCUUUAUUCACUUCGAUACCAAGAUAGUAUGUUAACAAUCCGAGAUCACUCAUCUCAAAGUUACUUGACAUCUCUCUCUUGAACUCAUGUAUCAUACUUUGCUUUGAUCCCAUGAUUAGUAAGUCGUCAACAUACACAGCUACUAGGAGAAGAUGAUUUUUCUCUUCCUUGCGAUACAAGGAAGGUUCCUUUGAACAUCUCUUGAAGUUUAAUUUCUCUAAGACUUUAUUCAGCUUCUCGUUCAAGGCUCUUGGGGCUUGUCUUAGGCCGUACAGAGCUUUAUUAAGUUUGUAUACUUUCUCUUCGUGACCUCUAACUUCAAAGCCUUCAGGUUGACUUACGUAUAAAACUUCUUUUAAUUCUCCGUGGAGGAAAGCGGUUUUGACGUCUAGGUGAUGGAUCUCCCAUUCGUUUGAGGCAGCUAGAGCAAUAAGAAACCUCACGGUCUCAAUCUUGGCAACUGGUGCAAAGACUUCUUCAAAAUUGAUACCGUGACGUUGAAUAUAACCUUUAGCCACCAGCCUUGACUUGUACUUAUUUAUGCUCCCAUCUGCAUUCCGUUUUAUCUUAAAGAUCCAUUUUAAUCCAAUUGGUUUAGCUCCUGGAGGUAAGUCAACGAGAUCCCAAGUUUUAUUCUUCACAAUCGAUGAGAUUUCUUCUUCACAGGCUUCACGCCAUACCUUCUCCUCCAUUGCAUCUCUGAAAUUCCAUGGUUCUUGAUCAAGAAGAAGCAAGAGGCGUUCUCCUUCUACUUCGGCAAGGUAGAUGUAGUCAUCGAGAUAACCAGGUUUCUUUGAGAUUCUAGUUGAUCUUCGUACUUGAAACUGCUAUGUUUGCUCUUCAUCAUGAUGAUCGCUGUCACCAUCCUCGACUGUAUCAUCUUCUUCAUGAGUGUUAUCGGCCUGGUUGUCAAUAGUAGACUCGUUAUCUUCUUCCUCUUGUUGAUUCACAUGAUCUCCAAGUGAAAUUUUAAACAUUUCGGGCUUCUCUAUUACUACACGAUCCGUCUUGUUCCAUUCCCAAGAUUUGUUUUCAUUAAAGACCACGUCCCUGCUCACUACUAUUCUCUGGCGUGUGGGAUCAAAUAGUCUAUAUGCCUUAAAGCCUCGCUCGGUUCCAAGGUGCACGAGAGUAUGAGACCUAUUAUCGAGUUUUUUUAAGUUUGUCGCCUCUGUUUUUGCAUAAGCAACACAUCCAAAUACUCUUAAGUGAAUGAUGUUUGGUUUUCUCCCUUUAAAAACUUCAUACGGCGUCUGUGAGAUCAGGGUCUUGGUUGCUAUACGAUUUAUCAAGUAAGUUGAGUGCCUCACAGCUUCUCCCCAAAGGUAAUUUGGUACGUCCAUGUACUUCAAAAUGCUUCUUGUCAUCUCUAAUAGGGUUCUAUUUCGCCUUUCUACCACUCCGUUCUGCUGUGGUGUAUAAGGAGCCGUUAAGUGACGUUGUAUACCUGAUUCUUCGCAGAACUUUUGAAACUCCAAGCUUGUGAACUCUCCACCUCUGUCUGUCCUCAGCGUCUUGAUGGGUGUACCAGUUUCUCGUUCAACUAAUGCCUUGAAUCGUUUGAAUUUUUCGAACGCUUCUCCCUUUUCCUUUAACGUAAUAGACCACAUAUAGCGUGAGUAGUCAUCUAUGAGAACGAAUAUGUAUCUGUUUCUCCCUAUGGUAGAUGGUGUAAUCGGUCCGCAGAGAUCUCCAUGAAUGAGUUCUAGUAUCUCGGAGGCUCGAUACGAUGUAGCUGCUGGGAAUGAGUGUCUUGUUUGCUUUGCACGCAGACAAGAAUCACAUGUUUCUUUCUCGACUUUGAGCUUGGGAAUUCCUAUCACAAGUUCUUUUCCUAUCAUGGCUUUCAUAGCAUCAGUUCCGAGAUGACCUAGAUGAGCAUGCCAUCGUGAGGCUUCGCUUUGAGUUUGAAGUUGUAGGCACGUUGGUUCUUCUAUUUCCAUUGCAACUUUAUAUAAACGGUUCCUUGAUCUUGAUGCCUUGACUAUCAAGUUACCAUCUUUGUCACGGAGUGUAAGAUAGUUUUCUCGCAUUCGUACAUCGCAUCCUGAUUAUGUGGCUUGAACGAGGCUUAUGAUAUUGCUUUUGAGUUUUGGAAUGUAGUAGACAUCUGCAAGGAUCUUUCUCUCUCCGUUGGGAGUGAUAAACAGAACGGCUCCCUUUCCCUUGAUGUCUAUUCUCGAAUCAUCUCUGAAACGGACCUUCCCGGUAAUCAUGUUGUCAAUAGUCCUGAAGAAGCUGCGGUUUCCUGUCAUAUGGUUAGAUGCUCCAUUGUCUAAGUACCAUAUCUUAUCUCCAUCAGUACUAGACUCAAGAUCUUUAGGUUUCACGUUCCGUUUGUUGAGAAAUACAACCUCAUGCAUUAAAAGUCCAUCAGCUUCGUGAGUUUCAUCUCCAUCUUUGCUCUCGGUUGUCUCUUGUAGCUUGAGAAGUCUAUCUGAAACAUGUGAUGUUUGUUUUAUCUCUACUGUCCCAAUAAGAUCUUCCGUGCCCUCUUCCUCUGCCGUAGUAGCGGUUACUUCGACCGCGACCUCUGUAUCCUCCAUCUCCUCUGUGUCCUCCGUCUCCUCUAUAUCCUCCAUUUCCUCUAUUUCCUCCAUCUCGGUAAUUUUGAGAUUAUGUGUUGCUGUACAUGAGUUUGCUCUGAUUUUCUUGUGUAUCUUCUUCUUCUUCUUCCGCCAUGAUACGCUCCUCGUAUGCUUUUAAACGUCCCACAACGUCUUCAAAACUCGCGGUGUUUAAGUCCAAGAGUUGUUCAAGUGAAGCAACUAUAUGAAUGUACUUCUUGCGUGGCAACCCUUGAAGGAACUUCUUUACAAGUUUUGCUUCAUUCAUACUUUCACCCAGUGCGGCGGAUUUUGAAGAUAUCUCUGUUAACUUGCCCACGAAGUCAUCAAUCUUAUCAGUUUCUUUCAUCUUUAGCCGUUCGAACUCAGUCAUCAAGGUCUGUAGUCUUGCUUCACGAACCCUAUCUGCUCCUACAUGUCGGGUCUUGAUCGCAUCCCAAACCUUCUUUGCGGUAUCAAGUGCUCCAACUUGUAGGAUCUCUCCGGAAUAGAUUGAAAGAGAAGAGCUGUCGCCAAGUCAUUCUUGUCUCCUUCUAUUGAGUCGCUCUCGACCACUUCCCAAACUUUAUGAACCCUAAGCAGCAUCUUCAUCCGUAUCGCCCAUACGAUGUAAUUCGUUGUUGUUAACAUCGGACACUUUAUGGAUGAACCUCCAUCCUUCUUGGUUGUCGUCGUUACCAAGUCAUCCAUGAUUCUUGAUCAAACUCUUGAUCGACUUUUGAACCUGGCUCUGAUACCAAAUAUAAUCUCAAGGAUUGUAUAAGAACACAAUAUAAAGAACUCUCUUUAUUAGCUUAAGAACUUUCUCAAAACUUAAGCUCUCACACAAUCUCUCAAACUCUUCAUAUCUAUGCAACACUCUUGCAUCUUAUAUAGAGAUGUUAUUUCCUAAAUUCUUAGGAACUAACUUUCCUAAACUCUUAGGAAUUAACUUUCCUAAACUCUUAGGAAUUAACUUAUUCUAAUCCUUACUCAAAAUAGGAUAGAUGUUACUUAGAUCCUAAGUUAACUUCAUGUUUAUCUCUAACAUCCCAGCAUGUUCCCAAUUGCAGCUUUACCAACGUCCAAAGUUUUAGCGUCAAUCUAGAAUCACAUGAUCACAGAGAUUGGCAUAUUUACACUAAAUCAUUGACUAUAUAACGCUAGCGCUAAGAAACUUAUGAGUAGAAUCAAACCUCUUCAGAAAGGUUGAAGCAUUCCCUGAAUUUUUCAUCAAAUGCUACAUGUUUCUCUGCAAGUAGAGUAGUGAGUUGCGAACCUACAUGGAUUGAAAAUGGAAAGUUAGGAAAAUGCACCGGAUAAUUAAUACCAUUACUAUAGGUAAUCAAAAUAGAUAUGCAUAAUAAUAUACAAGUGCACACAACAAAAUUAAAAUGAUUAUGCAAAAGUUUAUUGUGUUUAGGAAAAUGUCAUCAAUCAAUCCAUCACUAUCAUAACAUCAAUAUAUGCUCGAAGGUGCCAGGCUUGAAAAACCUGUAAGAGUGUUUGUACGAUCCUCCAUAUCGGCAGUUUUUUCAUCUAUCCCAGAUAUGAAGGCAAUAUCUAUAGUAGAGAACUGGCUCAUAGUGGAAAUCUGCAUGGCAACAGAUAAAUCAUAGGAUCCAUAUGAGUAAAUGUGGGAUGGUGGUUUUAUUCUUAAAUAACCAUGUAUAUAUAUCUUGAUAAAGACUGUUUUACCUGAAAAACAUAAACGUUGGAAUCAUCCUCCGCAGUGUCAGAGAGUUUAACUUGCCCAAACAUAUUUUCCUGAAAAUAUACAAGCCGAGAGGCAUGUAAGCACAUGUGGUCUUUACAAUAGUAUAUAUAUAUGAAAGACCUGCAAAAUUGAGAAUAUCACUAACAGUCAGGUUUUUCUGAACAAGAUCAGAUAGAUUGACAGAGUUGGACGUCUUGAACCCGCAAUAAUGACUUACGAGACCAGGAGUCUGCAAAUAAGGAGAAGCUAAAACAGUUAGAACACCAUGUUUCCAGCGAAGGAAGUAACUAGAAUCCUAUGAUCUCUGAAGACCACUACAAAUUAAAGAAAAAGCUACCUCUGACUUUAAGUGCAACUGCCAGUUUCCUACAUCUACUUUUCGGUUCCGGUAAAGUGGCAAAGUUAGAACUUUACCGGAUUCGGGUCGGGUCCUUUCGGAUCCGGAUCUUCGGAUCUAAGAGUUUAGGACCCGAUAGGGUAAUUUCAAAUUUCCAGGUCGGUUCGGGUCGUACCGGGUCCGGGUCGUACCGGGUCGGGUCGGGUCUUAGAUAGUUAGACCAAUUCGGGUAACUAGAAUUUAUCAGUUCGGAUUCGGUUCGGGUUCGAUUUAAAAAAGACCUAAAAAUACAAAAAAAAUAUCUGAAAAAUAUUUAUAUAUCCAAAAAUAUUUGAAAUUUUAUUCAAAAUUUGUGUGUUUUAUUAUAUUAAAAUAUGUAUAUAUAUUAAACUAUUCGAGAUACAACAACAAUUCGUUGUCUUCUAGUGGUUGACCCCCAUGUUCUCUAGAUGAAUAACCCGUUUUCGUUUCCCUCUUGAUGCAUUUUAUUUAAUUUAUAUUAUUAAUUCGGGUACCCAUCAGGUUUUGGGUUUGGGUCAGGUCGGGUCCAAGACCCGCGGAUCUUCUACAACAAGACCCGAUAGGGUAAUUUGAUCGGGUCGGUUCCUACCCGAACCGGGUUUUACGGGUCGGUUUUGGAUCGGGUUUUUGGGUCCGGGUAAAAUGCCCAGGCCUAGUUAAGGUUGCCUAAAAAGGAAUAGUAAUAAAUUAACCACACUUUAUUUUCAGCAUUAAUUCGAACUGACCAAUCCCCUCCAUAACCAAGGCUGCCCACCUUAGACUUGACAAAACUCGUCUGCAAUACCAAAUCUUUUUCAACCAGGUCUUGCUGCCCAUAAUCUGUUCCAUUGUGUUCUGUCCAUCCAAAUAACUUAAGACCGUGCUUGUCUUCACAGAAAUGCCUCAUCACAGGCUCAUUUUGUUCGGAAACGAGCCACAUCAAGCCAGCAACGAGAGGGUGGGGAUCUCUGCAUUGUCAUCAACAAUUUAUUAUCAACUUCUUUUUUUGACAGAGAACAACUUAUUAUCAACUUGCUUGUAACUUGUAAAAGAAUGGAACCGUUUGGCAUGAUAUAUGGGAACUGAUGCACAAAUAUAGAGAAACAACAAAUUAAGUACUCUGUUGGGUGCUAAAGUGACUACGUACUAAAGAUAAGGUCAAGGAACCAAUUAAGACGUUUCACGAAUAAUACCUAACGCGAACUCCGAAAUACGCCUGAGGGCGAUAAGUUCCCCAAUACAUGCUCUCCUUGCGCUCUUUAAACUGGAACAAGAAGCUCAAAAGAAUCAAAAUUUUCCACAACAAGAAACGUAUAAAGUUAAGUAAGACAAAUAUAUUUAGAGAGUACCAUAGUUAAGUCCAUGACAUUAGGAGCAGGAAAAGGAGUGGUAACAACCGGCCUUAGAGCAUGUGCAUCAGUGAACCCCAUGAAAGGGGUUCACAAAGUAUUUUUUUAUUAUUUUUUUUUUACUGUUUGAUUUUUGUUUUUAAAAAAAAAAAAAAAAUUAAUUAAUCGGACCAAUCGCGGACCGCCACGUAUCGUGGGGCCCGCGCUACAGUGAUGAACCAGGUUCACUGGGAAGAGCUUGGGAGAGACAGGUUCAUUACUAUUCAUUAUUAUAAUAUUUUUUUUUUUUUGAGAAUCUGUGUGAACUCCCCAUAAGUUCACUAAUGGGGGUGCUCUUACUAUCUGCUGGGUUUCAUCAUCAAGCGUAUGAGAGUACUCAUCAGGACGAGCAUCAGACUUCGCCAUCAGCACUGAGUAAGUGAAAGGUUUCUGCUAUGUGGAUGAUCGUUAAAGCUGAGAUAUGAACAGUGAAGCCUAAGAGGUGGGCUUUUAUAGCAAUGCUCUGGGGUUUCAAAAUAUGACUUUCUGCUACUUUAGUCUUUUUCUAAUCUUAUAUAUUAAAACAGAAGUCACAACCUUGAUUCAUGUGUGAUUUUUUUAAAAAAUUGACCUAAUGGACCUAAUGAACUUAUUCAUAGAAAUUCAUAUUACAUUUUAGUUCAGACUAAUAAUAAAUAGAAUUUUUAAAAUAUUUUAAUCAUAAUAUCUUUUGAUAUCUUUUCAUUUUAAAUAUAUAUAUAUUUAUUUUAAAAUUCUA